This is a long non-coding RNA of Daphnia carinata, 695 nucleotides long. RefSeq lists it as uncharacterized. The transcript has 3 exons. NCBI's taxonomy places the organism in Eukaryota, Metazoa, Arthropoda, Branchiopoda, Diplostraca, Daphniidae. The record is from RefSeq and is a predicted model, not a curated record.
CUGCUCUAGUCAGUACGCAGUAGGCUGUACGCAGAGCACAAGAGCUCUGCUGAUUGGUAUUUAGUAUGCAUCAGAAAGCCCUAAAAAAAAAACAAUUUGACGAAUGCUGGUUUUUCAUAAAGCCCCUACAAAUUGUAGUUCCAUCUGACUGCCGCCAGGAGACUUCAGAAAACCAAGCACAUCGAAUUUUAUGCUUCAUUUCAUUUCACUUUUUAGCUGUCAUAGCUGGUUUCGUAACACCAACCGAAUGUACUCAACCGAAAAGGAUUUGUCGCUGUCCCCGUAUCCGGUUUACAUCGUUUUCAUUGCGUCUACCCUGAUCUUAACCAUGGGAUUUUGUUACUAUUCAGGUUUAUUCAUGUUUAAAAUUAUAUUUCCUUGUGUGCAUGAAAAAAGCGCCCAAUUGACCCAGAUUGGAAAGUACGCGCCUAAAACAUACUUUUUGGCGGGAAACCAUUGGAGAAACGGUUUAGCAAACAAAAAGCGAUUGCGCCAAGCCGUAAUUUCAGGUUUUCACCUUGGAAUUUUUUUUGUGGUUUUUGGCAACGUUGCGAAUUUACUGUCACCUGAUUUCCCCUAGAUCAUGGAUGACCUAAGCUUCGUCGUCUGCAGAUUAAAUGACAGGACACAUUGGCCGUUUCUUUAAUUACCGACAAUCUUCAACAGUCGGGUACGUAAAAGUAAAAAUUUUUGUG